CGCCUACGGGACGCAGCAGUGAGGAAUAUUGGUCAAUGGGCGAGAGCCUGAACCAGCCAAGUCGCGUGAGGGAGUACUGCCCUAUGGGUUGUAAACCUCUUUUGUCGGGGAGCAAAAGACGCCACGUGUGGCGUUCCGAGAGUACCCGAAGAAAAAGCAUCGGCUAACUCCGUGCCAGCAGCCGCGGUAAUACGGAGGAUGCGAGCGUUAUCCGGAUUUAUUGGGUUUAAAGGGUGCGCAGGCGGAAGAUCCAGUCAGCGGUAAAAUUGAGAGGCUCAACCUCUUCGAGCCG
This 292-nucleotide ribosomal RNA is filed under the name uncultured bacterium. RNAcentral's name for it is "partial 16S ribosomal RNA". It matches the Rfam family "Bacterial small subunit ribosomal RNA", at positions 336 to 626 of the family's 1533-position model. The record is from RNAcentral.